This 465-nucleotide ribosomal RNA is filed under the name uncultured Klebsiella sp. RNAcentral describes it as "bacterial SSU rRNA". It matches the Rfam family "Bacterial small subunit ribosomal RNA", at positions 338 to 795 of the family's 1533-position model. Lineage: Bacteria; Pseudomonadati; Pseudomonadota; Gammaproteobacteria; Enterobacterales; Enterobacteriaceae. The record is from RNAcentral.
CCUACGGGCGGCUGCAGUGGGGAAUAUUGCACAAUGGGCGCAAGCCUAAUGCAGCCAUGCCGCGUGUGUGAAGAAGGCCUUCGGGUUGUAAAGCACUUUCAGCGGGGAGGAAGGCGUUAAGGUUAAUAACCUUGUCGAUUGACGUUACCCGCAGAAGAAGCACCGGCUAACUCCGUGCCAGCAGCCGCGGUAAUACGGAGGGUGCAAGCGUUAAUCGGAAUUACUGGGCGUAAAGCGCACGCAGGCGGUCUGUCAAGUCGGAUGUGAAAUCCCCGGGCUCAACCUGGGAACUGCAUUCGAAACUGGCAGGCUAGAGUCUUGUAGAGGGGGGUAGAAUUCCAGGUGUAGCGGUGAAAUGCGUAGAGAUCUGGAGGAAUACCGGUGGCGAAGGCGGCCCCCUGGACAAAGACUAACGCUCAGGUGCGAAAGCGUGGGGAGCAAACAGGAUUAGAUACCCUAGUAGUC